UACGUAGGUGGCUAGCGUUGUCCGGAUUUACUGGGCGUAAAGGGCGCGUAGGCGGGAUGGCAAGUCGGUCGUGAAAUCCUUCGGCUCAACCGAAGAACGUCGAUCGAUACUGCUGUUCUUGAGGGUUGCAGAGGAGACUGGAAUUCCCGGUGUAGCGGUGAAAUGUGUAGAGAUCGGGAGGAACACCGGUGGCGAAGGCGGGUCUCUGGGCAAUUCCUGACGCUGAGGCGCGAAAGCGUGGGGAGCAAACGGG
RNAcentral lists this ribosomal RNA (253 nucleotides) under uncultured bacterium. RNAcentral describes it as "partial 16S ribosomal RNA". It matches the Rfam family "Bacterial small subunit ribosomal RNA", at positions 524 to 776 of the family's 1533-position model. The record is from RNAcentral.